GCCUACGGGUGGCAGCAGUGGGGAAUAUUGGGCAAUGGGAGAAAUCCUGACCCAGCAACGCCGCGUGGAGGACGAAGGCCUUCGGGUUGUAAACUCCUGUCAGCAGGGAAAAAGGCUACAAAAGCUAAUACCUUUUGUAGUUUGAUGGUACCUGCAGAGGAAGCACCGGCUAACUACGUGCCAGCAGCCGCGGGAAUACGUAGGGUGCAAGCGUUAUUCGGAAUCACUGGGCGUAAAGGGCGGGCAGGCGGUUUUGUAAGUUGAAAGUGAAAUCCUUGGGCUUAACCCAAGGGCUGCUUUAGAUACUGCAUAACUAGAGUUCGGGAAAAGCAAGCGGAAUUCCUGGUGAAGGGGUGAAAUCCGUAGAUAUCAGGAAGAACACCAGUGGCGAAAGCGGCUUGCUAGAACGCAACUGACGCUUAGGCGCGAAAGCGUGGGGAGCAAACAGGAUUAGAUACCCUUGUAGUCA
RNAcentral lists this ribosomal RNA (469 nucleotides) under uncultured Desulfurellaceae bacterium. RNAcentral describes it as "bacterial SSU rRNA". It matches the Rfam family "Bacterial small subunit ribosomal RNA", at positions 337 to 796 of the family's 1533-position model. The record is from RNAcentral. Lineage: Bacteria; Pseudomonadati; Campylobacterota; Desulfurellia; Desulfurellales; Desulfurellaceae.